CACGUAGGGUGCGAGCGUUGUCCGGAAUUAUUGGGCGUAAAGAGCUCGUAGGCGGUGUGUCGCGUCGGCCGUGAAAACCUGGGGCUUAACUCUGGGCUUGCGGUCGAUACGGGCAUCACUGGAGUUCGGCAGGGGAGACUGGAAUUCCUGGUGUAGCGGUGAAAUGCGCAGAUAUCAGGAGGAACACCGGUGGCGAAGGCGGGUCUCUGGAACGCAACUGACGCUGAGACGCGAAAGCGUGGGGAGCAAACAGG
RNAcentral lists this ribosomal RNA (254 nucleotides) under uncultured bacterium. RNAcentral describes it as "partial 16S ribosomal RNA". It matches the Rfam family "Bacterial small subunit ribosomal RNA", at positions 524 to 776 of the family's 1533-position model. The record is from RNAcentral.